This 448-nucleotide ribosomal RNA is filed under the name uncultured bacterium. RNAcentral describes it as "SSU rRNA". It matches the Rfam family "Bacterial small subunit ribosomal RNA", at positions 26 to 518 of the family's 1533-position model. The record is from RNAcentral.
AGAGCGAACGCUGGCGGCAGGCUUAACACAUGCAAGUCGAGCGGGCGUAGCAAUACGUCAGCGGCAGACGGGUGAGUAACGCGUGGGAACGUACCUUUUGGUUCGGAACAACCCAGGGAAACUUGGGCUAAUACCGGAUAAGCCCUUACGGGGAAAGAUUUAUCGCCGAAAGAUCGGCCCGCAUCUGAUUAGCUAGUUGGUGAGGUAAUGGCUCACCAAGGCGACGAUCAGUAGCUGGUCUGAGAGGAUGAUCAGCCACAUUGGGACUGAGACACGGCCCAAACUCCUACGGGAGGCAGCAGUGGGGAAUAUUGGACAAUGGGCGCAAGCCUGAUCCAGCCAUGCCGCGUGAGUGAUGAAGGCCCUAGGGUUGUAAAGCUCUUUUGUGCGGGAAGAUAAUGACGGUACCGCAAGAAUAAGCCCCGGCUAACUUCGUGCCAGCAGCCGC